RNAcentral lists this long non-coding RNA (2472 nucleotides) under Vigna radiata. RNAcentral's name for it is "long non-coding RNA (VRAD_LNC000572)". The record is from RNAcentral. Lineage: Eukaryota; Viridiplantae; Streptophyta; Magnoliopsida; Fabales; Fabaceae.
UACUCACUUAGUUGUUGUUACUUGCAAGAUUACUUUUAAAAUCACAAAAGAAGACUCAAAAACAAAUCAAAACAAAGGAAAACAACAAAUUGGGACUCUAAUGCCGGACUCUAAUGUAACUCCUAAACGGGUAACACCAAUUUAAACACACAAGAAAAGUUUUGNCAAGAGUUGAAAGAGCACCAAGGACUCUUCCAAGACAACUUGGACUUUGAAUGGCCUUUUACAAAGAAGAAACUAGCAAAGCAAACCUAUUACAAUUCAAAACAAAAUAAUCAAAACAAACUGAAGUGUUGCUUCCACGGUUUUGUCUAAAUUUCCUUGAGCUGGACANCUUUUGAACACUUUGGAGUCUCCUUGCUUUUGGGUUCAACUCUGCCUUUCGUGGUUNUGCUGCUGCAGCUUAAAAGAUGCUCCUAUGAUUUUCAAAACUGCACAAAUAAAGUACACCAAAUUUAGUAUACAGUCAACAGUAUUACUGUGAAGCUGCACAACAAAAUUAAGAAUACUCCCUUUGGUCUCGGCUUGGUGCAAUCAUGGGCUAUUUCCCAGCAAAAUAUGAAGUCUGCAGUUAUGUGCUGAUAAGGGAAAUGCAAUUUCUAGCUGUGAAUCCUGCUGCAGGUGUUGCUGGAACAAACACUACUGCUGUGAUUUCUGCUGUUUAAAACCUUGCACCAUGUUAUUUUCAAGCUUCACGGGUAGUAUUUGCUACUACUGGACCUUGCCUCUGUACUGUUUUUUUUUAUUUCCACCUUUCAAGCUAUUACAAAUAGCCGUAGAACAUCUUUCAGAUCAAAUGAAGACAGCUGCAACGUAGCAACAAUAGCAAAUACACAAGCACUAACAAUUGUAAUUGGUGAAUAAUCAAGGUAAUUAAAAAUCAGAAUUGGAUUGCAGCUUUUGGAUGCUCUCAAAGGAAAGAGCUGAUUAAAAUCAACUAUCAAUGCUCACAGCUGCUGGGUGGAGGUGUGGUAAAGUUGCUCUACCAUAUAUUACAGAAACAGCUACAAAAGAUGCAGAAUAAAUCUGCUACUGAUGCACCAGAAUUUCUGCAUUUCGCACACCACUUUGCUGCACCAGAAAACACUUCAGCUUGAUCUUUCCGUGUCCCAAUCCACGUCCUAGUAUGCUACCAGUGUUAGGAGACAACCUUUACUAGUUCCUGCAUCCAUUUAGAGCUCACACAGACCAACCAAAAGCAAUUAUAACACCAGAAUAAUCACCCUGCUGCUGCCAGAAUUUGUUAAACCAGAUUGCACAACUAUACUUUCAACAAACAGCUGGCGUGCAGAAUUUCAAACAAUUAAAAGCAAGAAAUUAAACGGCUAUCAAUGCAGGGCGGCACUCAAAAGGAUCUUAAGAUUGGUUCUAGAGUGGAUUUAGAAAGCAAUAAACUCAUAUAAGUUGCAGAAACACUCAAUUCGAACUCAAUUGUAAAUAGGCAAAAGUGUUUGAUGUAAUGCCUAAGAGAAAUCUGUGAUGCACCAGUUUUGGCACUUAACUUGGCACGGUUCAAACAGCUUUUUGUUUUCUCUACAGUCCUUUUCUUUUUAUUUUGAGAGAUACACUUCUUUUUAACAAUUGAACCAAGCUUUUGCUACCAAUUUAAGAUAUAAUUUGGUGCUUUCAUCUCAUGAAACAAUCAAAACCAGAAUUCUGCAACUUAUUUGAAGAAAAAGUGUUGAAAAUUGGUGGUUGGAUUGGCAAAUUUGCACAGAUCAAUUUAGACACUCAAAAUUAUGAUUGGAGCAACUUUGUUUCUCCAAUUAGACUUGUUUCAACAGCCAGCAGAGGCUAAAAACAUGUAAAUCGAAAUUUGGCUAUAUCAGUUGCUCUUAAUCACCAAAAAGAGGUCACAUUACCAACCAAAUCUCAACAAAGGAUUCAAAUGUUUUUUUUUUUUUUUUGGAUCACUAAUAUGACGAUUUGAGCAAAUUUAUUUUGCCAAAUAUGACAGAUGCAAAGGGCCAGCAAAGCCUAAAAACUGUCAGAUCAAAAUUUCACUAUAUAAGUUGCUCAUCUUAUUCAAAAUUGAUCCAUACACUAACCAAAAUUUCAGCAGAAUAUUCAAACUGUUAUGAAACACUUUUUGGUGACUUAAAACAUCAAAUUGCACUUGAACAAGACUCUAUAGAAGCAUUAAGAUGUCCAGAACUGAUUUACUACUGCUGAACAGAUUCAAAACUAAAAAUAGACUCAAACAAAUCAGAUGCAGUCUCGGCCAAACUGCAUAUGCAAAGGAAUUCUGAUUUCUGCAGUGUGGUGCAUCAUGAAUGAUUGUCUUAGACAAAUCACUAUUCAUAUGGCAUGCCUAUCACACUAUCGCAACAAUUCAACACAUCCAGAAUUCGAUUUUCCACACGGUACAAAUUAAAUGAAACUGAAACCAGAUUUUGAGACAGAUUCCACUUCUGCAUUAAUCGGUACUGCACUUUGAUGGACUCAGGCUACACUUGAGCUCUUUUGAAUCAU